RNAcentral lists this ribosomal RNA (762 nucleotides) under Staphylococcus sp. M_Sw_oHS_08/11_1_1(1). Its description in RNAcentral is "bacterial SSU rRNA". It matches the Rfam family "Bacterial small subunit ribosomal RNA", at positions 22 to 767 of the family's 1533-position model. Lineage: Bacteria; Bacillati; Bacillota; Bacilli; Caryophanales; Staphylococcaceae. The record is from RNAcentral.
ACUCAGGAUGAACGCGGGCGGCGUGUCUAAUACAUGCAAGUCGAGCGAACAGACGAGGAGCUUGCUCCUCUGACGUAGCGGCGGACGGGUGAGUAACACGUGGAUAACCUACCUAUAAGACUGGGAUAACUUCGGGAAACCGGAGCUAAUACCGGAUAAUAUAUUGAACCGCAUGGUUCAAUAGUGAAAGACGGUUUUGCUGUCACUUAUAGAUGGAUCCGCGCCGCAUUAGCUAGUUGGUAAGGUAACGGCUUACCAAGGCAACGAUGCGUAGCCGACCUGAGAGGGUGAUCGGCCACACUGGAACUGAGACACGGUCCAGACUCCUACGGGAGGCAGCAGUAGGGAAUCUUCCGCAAUGGGCGAAAGCCUGACGGAGCAACGCCGCGUGAGUGAUGAAGGUCUUCGGAUCGUAAAACUCUGUUAUUAGGGAAGAACAAAUGUGUAAGUAACUAUGCACGUCUUGACGGUACCUAAUCAGAAAGCCACGGCUAACUACGUGCCAGCAGCCGCGGUAAUACGUAGGUGGCAAGCGUUAUCCGGAAUUAUUGGGCGUAAAGCGCGCGUAGGCGGUUUUUUAAGUCUGAUGUGAAAGCCCACGGCUCAACCGUGGAGGGUCAUUGGAAACUGGAAAACUUGAGUGCAGAAGAGGAAAGUGGAAUUCCAUGUGUAGCGGUGAAAUGCGCAGAGAUAUGGAGGAACACCAGUGGCGAAGGCGACUUUCUGGUCUGUAACUGACGCUGAUGUGCGAAAGCGUGGGGA